This 560-nucleotide long non-coding RNA is filed under the name Olea europaea subsp. europaea. Lineage: Eukaryota; Viridiplantae; Streptophyta; Magnoliopsida; Lamiales; Oleaceae. The record is from RNAcentral.
GGAAAAUACUAGAAUUAAAAAUCUUACACAAACCUCAAAAUAUCUGAUCCCAGUGGGCCCCAUCUGUCCACUCUUUCGUCCACACAACUUCUUCUUCAACUGCUAAAACGAGAAAAGAAAAUACCAGGUCGGUUCUUCUCCUCCUUCCUUCCCCUUUCCUUAAUUCCUUCAAAUUAAUUUAGGUUUUAUGUUAAUAAUUUGUCUCUUAGUACUUUUUCUUGUCCAGGAAAAUAUGUGGGGAGGAAAACUUAGGAUUGCUACAGUGAAAGUUGAACAGGAAAUGGAAAUGCAAGGACAACCCUCCACCGCCUUAUGGUUCUUGGCUGAUAUUUUUGGCUUCUGGGCGGCGGCAAUACCUAUAUAUACCCAACCCCACCCCUUCUCACCGACCAUUUUUCGUCCACAAAACUACUACCGGGAUUUCCUCUAUAAUCUGCUCCAAAAUCCCAAGAAACUAAUUCAAGAACCAUACUUUGAUAGACAGGAAUGGACCCUGAAGAUCAUAAGACCCUAUUUUCUUCUUCUUGUGGAGAAUCUGAUAUUCCUAUACAGCCUAAAAC